AUUGAACGCUGGCGGCAGGCCUAACACAUGCAAGUCGAGCGGAUGAAGGGAGCUUGCGCCUGGAUUCAGCGGCGGACGGGUGAGUAAUGCCUAGGAAUAUGCCUGGCAGUGGGGGAUGACGUCCUGAAACGGGCGCUGAUAACGCAUACGUCCUGCGGGAGAAAGUGGGGGAUCUUCGGACCUCACGCUAUCAGAUGAGCCUAGGUCGGAUUAGCUAGUUGGUGGGGUAAAGGCCUACCAAGGCGACGAUCCGUAACUGGUCUGAGAGGAUGAUCAGUCACACUGGGAGGGAGACACGGUCCAGACUCCCACGGGAAGGAGCAGUGGUGAAUAUUGGACAAUGGGCGGAAACCUGAUCCCACCAUGCCGCGGGUGGAAAGAAGGUCUUCGGAUUGUAAAGCACUGUAAGUUGGGAGGAAGCGGAGUAAGUUAAUACCGUGCUGUUUUGAAGUGACAAGCAUAAUAAGCACCGGCUAACUUCGGG
Molecule: ribosomal RNA, 484 nt
Filed under: uncultured bacterium
Lineage: Bacteria
Description: partial 16S ribosomal RNA
Rfam family: Bacterial small subunit ribosomal RNA
Source: RNAcentral